Molecule: long non-coding RNA, 689 nt
Filed under: Fukomys damarensis (Damara mole-rat)
Lineage: Eukaryota; Metazoa; Chordata; Mammalia; Rodentia; Bathyergidae
Description: lncRNA (ENSFDAG00000027908.1)
Source: RNAcentral
GGGGAGUAUGAGGCCUUAGCCCGCCUCCUCUACUCAUACCCCUCCCUGCUCCAUCCCAGUCGAGAUCAGCGUCUCGCCUCCGAUAACAUCACCACUACUAGAUGGAGCGAACCCGGACCAGAAACACGGCGACCCCUAUCUGGACUCCUAACUGGACCUCCCCCCUUUGCAACUCCCCCCGCCCUCGCCCCGCCGCUCCGCAGAUGAAAAAAUUUGAGUGCAGUCAGCCUUUUCUUUUUGUCCCUGCUAAGCCAUCAUCCUUUUGUGUGGUGCCACCCACACCCAGGGUGGGCCUUCCUUAAUCCUAGAGUCACACACUCUAGAUCCAGCCAUCUGUGAAAAGCCCCACCUGGGAGAACAUGAGACUUUGAGGGGACAUCUACAUACAAGCCAUAACAGUGAUAUUUCAAAAAUAAUGACAAGUGUGGACCAGGUAUCAGUCAAUAAAUAUCCAAGAGGUAGGUUUGGAUGGUGCUCAAGGGUGAAGAGCAGCAGCUUUUCACUAACUUGCACGUAAAUUAUUUCUUUUCUUUUUUGUUUUACAGGGGAUCAAACUCAGGUCCUUGUGCUUUCAAGGCAGGCGGCAGAACCACUGAACUAAAUCCCUGGCCCCUCAACAUUUCAUUCUUAUGACCAUAGGGCCACAUCAGAGAUGUACUGAAUAUCAGAUCUGGCUAUAAAUUUGAGAG